ACCCAUAGACCGUGGACCGGACCGAAUUAAGUCGGUCUUAUAAAAUUCGAAUCGAGACUGACCGGUACCAUUCUUGGUCCAGUCCGGUCCGGACCGAAUUGGUCGGUCCGGUCGGUUUUUUCGGUCCGGACCGACCGAAUAUCACCCCUAGGUCUAAUAGUUGUUUUAGGCUUGUUUAAAAUUGAGAUGCUCUCUUUGGUCUUUUUUUAGGCGAACUACUCAAUCAGAAGCACCAUCUCCUUCCGCAUUGACUUUUGCUCCUACUGCUACUCCUUCAUUGACAUUAUCAACGUCUUAUUAUGACUAUAGUUGAUAUCAGUGCAAAAUGGGUGUUUGUCGUGUGAUGGUUGGUCGUGCAUGGAGGAUCUGGUUUGAUGUGGGGCUUCCUAUGGAGGUGCUAUAGAAGUGCACGGUGGAGGGUGUUGGUUCUUGGAUGGGUGUGGAGGAUCUGGGUAUCGUUUUCGGUGGAGGUUGGCUCAGAGUAUUCGGUGGUGGAAGCAGCAGAGACUGAAAGCAGAGGAGGGGAGAGUAUGUAGUCCAUCUCCUUAAGGUUUCUUUGGAGGACCUCUACAAUGGGAGAUCCAAGACAUCCAAGAAGUUGUCCCUAUCUUAAUGCAAUCUGCUCCAACUGCAAGGGUAAAGGCUCCAAGUCUUGUGCUUUCAAUUAAAUGUUUUGGUUGUCAAGGUUCUAGAAUCAAAGUCUCCAUUAUGCACAGCACCUUGGCCUUCUUUGAUCCAGCAAAUGCAGCAUGCUUUCAAUGAGUGCAAGAUAUCUCUUCUGAGUAUACUAGGAACAGGAAAGAAGUUAAUGUCACAUGUAAAGAGUUAUACUAUGUUUACUAUAUGGUGAAUACAUAAAUAUUUCAUAUUGGAUAUAUACUGAUAGACAUGAAAUAAUUAUGCACAAAAUCAUUUGUUAUGUUCUAAAUUAUUUCA
Juglans regia (Persian walnut) is the source of this 936-nucleotide long non-coding RNA. RefSeq lists it as uncharacterized. Lineage: Eukaryota; Viridiplantae; Streptophyta; Magnoliopsida; Fagales; Juglandaceae. The record is from RefSeq and is a predicted model, not a curated record. The transcript has 5 exons.